Scylla paramamosain (green mud crab) is the source of this 1186-nucleotide long non-coding RNA. RefSeq lists it as uncharacterized. The transcript is spliced from 4 exons. The record is from RefSeq and is a predicted model, not a curated record. NCBI's taxonomy places the organism in Eukaryota, Metazoa, Arthropoda, Malacostraca, Decapoda, Portunidae.
CACCCACACACCGGAAAAUUAAUCCCGCAGUGAUCAAAUUUACAUUCUUACUCGUAAUCCUGACUAGCUGGUGGAAUUCAAGUCUGCUAAUUUUCCUUUGAAUUAAUAUUCAUCCAAUAAAGCCAAAUUCUUUCCAUAAAACGAAUCAGUAUUAAUGUCGAAUCAAAUUUCACGGGUGGGCCGCCAGGGGGCCUGCGGGUACGAUGUUGUCACUGGUGUUGUGAGCGUGUGCCGCGGGCUGCUGCACUUCUUCACGCCUGCUGGAGCACCGCGGGAGGAAUUAGAAGGUCUUGCUUGGGACGCGGGAGGCUGGCUGGCGCGGGGACGGACAGAGGGACAUAGGGACACAGGUACACGUCAGGUGCCGCCUCUCAGCCCCGCACGCCUCCCGCCACACGCCGCCGCGACAGCACAAUGACGUGACCCUCCUCGUCAAUGUGAUGCCGAAGGAAUCAGAGGAAUAUUCAUAUUACGUGAACGUGCAAGGUUCGCCUUCAACGUUGACUUUUGUGGAUGAAAAUUAAAACCUGCGGUGGUGAAUAGUCAUUUAGCCGAGGUGCGUGCCGUGCGUUUUGACACAGAGGAACGGGAAGAAUAUGAAUAAGUAUACCGUUUCCUCACGCAUUCUGGCCUCCAUUGAUUUCCCAGAACGUGAGUCAGUCGUGCAGGGAAAGCGUGCGUCAAAUUCUUCGUUGUAGGUUUCUGCUCUUUGGCGAGAUUCGAAAAUUUGGUGCCUGAGCUUAGAGGGGUUCUGGUUAGGUUAGACUGUGUUGGCAGAGGUAAUGGAGAGCUUUGUUUUAUAAAUAUUGCUGUUUUUCAGUGUAUUUUAACUCUAGUUCGUCUUGUUUUCCUGUUUAGUAAGUUAUUCAGUGUUCUGUUUUUUGUUGUUUUCCUUACUUAUUCGCUAUAUCUCAAUAUCAGUUUGUUCAAUUACAAGCAGAAAGGUUUAGUUUAUUCUUUUACCUUUUUUAGUGUAUUUUAAGUCUAGUUCGUCUUGUUUUCCUGUUUAGUAAGUUAUUCAGUGUUCUGUUUUUUGUUGUUUUCCUUAUUUAUUCGUUAUAUCUCAAUAUCAGUUUGUUCAAUUACAAGCAGAAAGGUUUAGUUUAUUCUUUUACCUGUAACAAAAUUUUCUUUCUUCCUUUCCUUCCUUCUUUCGUUAGAUAACCAAUAAAUCUUAACGUUCUGU